UGUAUCGUGUAUCCUCAACACCUGGGAUUCCUGGCUUUAUUUUAAAUAGCCAUCUGCAUCCAACAAGCUUUGCCUUCGCAUGCCUAUCAAUGAGAUCCCAGGUUCUGUUCUUUCUGUGAGACUCCAUUUUUUCUUCUGCAGCAUGCUUCCAUAGCUUCUUUUCAUGACUUCUCAUAGCUUCUGCAUAGGAUUUUGAUUCCUGAACUUCCAAAUCCUCAACAUAGGUGUCUAGAGUUUCAGUGUCACCACUC
This 251-nucleotide long non-coding RNA is filed under the name Brassica napus (rape). RNAcentral's name for it is "long non-coding RNA (BNAP_LNC016192)". Lineage: Eukaryota; Viridiplantae; Streptophyta; Magnoliopsida; Brassicales; Brassicaceae. The record is from RNAcentral.